This 301-nucleotide ribosomal RNA is filed under the name uncultured bacterium. Its description in RNAcentral is "partial 16S ribosomal RNA". It matches the Rfam family "Bacterial small subunit ribosomal RNA", at positions 509 to 807 of the family's 1533-position model. The record is from RNAcentral.
CAGUCGCCGCGGUAAUACGUAGGGCGCAAGCGUUGUCCGGAAUUAUUGGGCGUAAAGAGCUCGUAGGCGGUCUGUCGCGUCUGGUGUGAAAUCCCGAGGCUCAACCUCGGGCUUGCAUCGGGUACGGGCAGACUAGAGUGCGGUAGGGGAGACUGGAAUUCCUGGUGUAGCGGUGGAAUGCGCAGAUAUCAGGAGGAACACCGAUGGCGAAGGCAGGUCUCUGGGCCGCAACUGACGCUGAGGAGCGAAAGCAUGGGGAGCGAACAGGAUUAGAGACCCCUGUAGUCCCUGUCUCUUAUAC